AAUUUCUUCAACCCUUUUAGGCAAUCCCGUGGCAAAGGCUGCAUUAGAACUCAAACCCCGAGACCUUCAAUUCAGUGUGCUUCCGCGAACGUGCUAACACCAAUAAGCUCAGGCUUGAAAAUCAGGUUCCCUAGUAAACAAGCUGGGAUAGGAUGGUGUGUCAGGACACGAGCCCAGGACGGACACUCCCCACCGCUCCCAGGGAAAGGAAUUUCUCCUCAGUCCAGCUAUCUUUCAGGGACACUCAAGUUUUGCAAUCAUCGGACUCAGCAAAGGACAAGGGAAGCAGGAAUCCUUCCGCCCAACGAGCCCAGGUGCAGCGAUCACCACCAACAGGUUGUUGGUGAUUGUACAACAGGUCCCUGUUUGUAAAGCUCGUCCGAAGUCA
Neofelis nebulosa (Clouded leopard) is the source of this 388-nucleotide long non-coding RNA. RefSeq lists it as uncharacterized. The transcript is spliced from 2 exons. Lineage: Eukaryota; Metazoa; Chordata; Mammalia; Carnivora; Felidae. The record is from RefSeq and is a predicted model, not a curated record.